UACGUAGGGUGCAAGCGUUGUCCGGAAUUAUUGGGCGUAAAGAGCUCGUAGGCGGUUUGUCGCGUCUGCUGUGAAAACUCAGGGCUUAACCCUGAGCUUGCAGUGGGUACGGGCAGACUAGAGUGCGGUAGGGGAGACUGGAAUUCCUGGUGUAUCGGUGAAAUGCGCAGAUAUCAGGAGGAACACCGGUGGCGAAGGCGGGUCUCUGGGCCGUAACUGACGCUGAGGAGCGAAAGCAUGGGGAGCGAACAGG
This 253-nucleotide ribosomal RNA is filed under the name uncultured bacterium. RNAcentral's name for it is "partial 16S ribosomal RNA". It matches the Rfam family "Bacterial small subunit ribosomal RNA", at positions 524 to 776 of the family's 1533-position model. The record is from RNAcentral.